Molecule: ribosomal RNA, 392 nt
Filed under: uncultured bacterium
Lineage: Bacteria
Description: partial 16S ribosomal RNA
Rfam family: Bacterial small subunit ribosomal RNA
Source: RNAcentral
UUUGGGCGCAGCUGAUGCAGCGACGCCGCGUGAGUGAUGAAGGCCUUCGGGUUGUAAACCUCUUUCGGCGGGGACGAUGAUGACGGGACCCGCAGAACAAGCCCCGGCUAACUCCGUGCCAGCAGCCCCGGGAAUACCUAGGGGGCGGGCGUUGUGCGGAUUUUCUGGGCGUAAAGGGGGCUUAGGCGGGUUGGUAAGUCUGGGGUGAAAUCCCCCGGCUUAACCCGGGGGCGGCCUCCCCUACUGGACGGCUUGAGUGGGGGGGAGGGGGGGGGGAUUUCCUGUGGGGGGGGGGAAUGGGUAGAUAUUGGGAAGAACACCAGGGGCGAAGGCGGCUCCCUGGUCCCGUACUGACGCUGAGGUGCGAAAGCGUGGGGAGCAAACAGGAUUUG